This 672-nucleotide long non-coding RNA is filed under the name Mytilus galloprovincialis (Mediterranean mussel). Lineage: Eukaryota; Metazoa; Mollusca; Bivalvia; Mytilida; Mytilidae. The record is from RNAcentral.
UUGGUCUCUUGAGGAGAGUUGUCUCAUUGUCAAUCAUACCACAUCUUCUCAUUUUUAUAUUGACUACUGUGAUCUAUCUUGCUUUUUCAUUUGUACUUAAAAAAAACCUUUAGGACUUCUAACAGGGGGUAAAAAUCACUAUCAUUUUAUAUUUUUGUUGUAGUGACCACGACAGAGACAUUUCUACACAAUAAAAACCAAUUAUACCAAGCAUGUUUCAUAAGAUAGACCAUCUAACAUCAUAGUACUAUCUUACUACACAAUAAAAACCAAUUAUACCAAGCAUGUUUCAAUAGAUAGACCAUCUAAAAUCAUAGUACUAUCUUACUACACCAUAAAAACCAAUUAUACCAAGCAUGUUUCAAUAGAUAGACAAUCUAACAGCACAGUACUAUCUUACUACACAAUAAAAACCAAUUAUACCAAGCAUGUUUCAUUAGAUAAACAAUCUAACAUCAUAGUACUAUCUUACUACACAAUAAAAACCAAUUAUACCAAGCAUGUUUCAUUAGAUAGACAAUCUAACAUCAUAGUACUAUCUUUACUACACAAUAAAAACCAAUUAUACCAAGCAUGUUUCAAUAGAUAGACCAUCUAACAUCAUAGUACUAUCUUACUACACAAUAAAAACCAAUUAUACCAAGCAUGUUUCAAUAGAUAGACAAUCUAACA